AGAAACUACGAGGUAUUGGUGCACUUUGUUCAUAUGUAGGCAUGAGACUUUAAAAGUCUUGGCAAACACCAAAUCAUAAUAAAAAUGCUUCUUUUUCUAUCUCUCCAAUAUUUUAACAAACAACACCCUUAUGCAAACCAAAAUGUGUAUAUUUUCAAAGAGGUUCCCAUGGAGUACCAUGGAUGUUUAGGAUGCUAAUAACUUCCCUUUGCAUAACUAAC
Molecule: long non-coding RNA, 221 nt
Filed under: Lathyrus oleraceus (garden pea)
Lineage: Eukaryota; Viridiplantae; Streptophyta; Magnoliopsida; Fabales; Fabaceae
Description: Pisum sativum (pea) long non-coding RNA (PSAT_LNC022185)
Source: RNAcentral